Molecule: ribosomal RNA, 447 nt
Filed under: uncultured bacterium
Lineage: Bacteria
Description: bacterial SSU rRNA
Rfam family: Bacterial small subunit ribosomal RNA
Source: RNAcentral
UCGGGAAUUUUGGGCAAUGGGCGAAAGCCUGACCCAGCAACGCCGCGUGAAGGAUGAAGUAUUUCGGUAUGUAAACUUCGUAAGAAUAGGAAGAAUAAAUGACGGUACUAUUUGUAAGGUCCGGCUAACUACGUGCCAGCAGCCGCGGUAAUACGUAGGGACCAAGCGUUGUUCGGAUUUACUGGGCGUAAAGGGCGCGUAGGCGGUUUGUCAAGUCAGUUGUGAAAUCUCCGAGCUUAACUCGGAACGGUCAACUGAUACUGUCAAACUAGAGUACAGAAGGGGCAGUCGGAAUUCUUGGUGUAGCGGUGAAAUGCGUAGAUAUCAAGAGGAACACCUGAGGCGAAGGCGGGUUGCUGGGCUGAUACUGACGCUGAAGCGCGAAAGCUAGGGUAGCAAACGGGAUUAGAUACCCAAGUAGUCCCUGAGCGGGCUGGCAAGGCGCAU